RNAcentral lists this small nucleolar RNA (105 nucleotides) under Hanseniaspora osmophila. RNAcentral describes it as "Small nucleolar RNA snR73". It matches the Rfam family "Small nucleolar RNA snR73". Lineage: Eukaryota; Fungi; Ascomycota; Saccharomycetes; Saccharomycodales; Saccharomycodaceae. The record is from Rfam by way of RNAcentral.
GUUUAUGAUGAUUAACUUUUUAUCACGACGGUCAACUUAUUUGUAUUAGUUGUUUACUUUUACAAAAUUUGAUGAUAACUGCCUGUGACAGGGCUACUUCUAAUC